Coffea eugenioides is the source of this 723-nucleotide long non-coding RNA. RefSeq lists it as uncharacterized. The transcript is spliced from 3 exons. NCBI's taxonomy places the organism in Eukaryota, Viridiplantae, Streptophyta, Magnoliopsida, Gentianales, Rubiaceae. The record is from RefSeq and is a predicted model, not a curated record.
ACUUUUGAUCUAGUGACAUCUUUCUUAUGUUGUAGGCAAUGAUAAGUCUAGUUUGAAAGUUUACAGUCAACCAUUGGUAAAGAUUCAUGGUACAGUAUACAUAGAAAAGGGUGGAAUAAAUAUUUUUGAGGCUUAAAGCUCUCCUCCUGCAACAAAGAUGAUUUUGGCUGGCUUCUGGAAUCCUCAUACAUGAGUUGUUUGGGUGCUCGAGAUCAGAUGAAUUGUCUGAAGACAUGCUAGGGAAGUUUUCAUGUGUAUGAGCAACUAUGAACACUAGCUAUUCUCUCAAUCUGGUGAUGGGACAAUCCUUUAAUUCAGGGUUAUUGAAUGGUUGAUGGCAAAGAUGCCAGGUUAAUGGACGGUGAGAAGUCAAAAUUUUUACAUGGAAUUUUGAUGGAUAUCAUUCAAUCAGAAAGUAAAUUUCUGAGAGGAAGGCUCACAUUAUUGGAAGUAUACAUGAUGUGGAUGGCAAUCUCCUGGUGUAAAAGCGUCUCCACGCCUUGUAAGUGGAACCGAUGGAUAGGCAAAAAUCUUCAAGUACUUAGUUAAGAUCGAAUAGACAAGUCAAAUACCUGUAUGGUACUUGUAAACACACUGAAUUAGAAAUAAUUGAACAAACAGAUAAAUACAACCAAAAGAAGAUGAACACCUCAAAGCAGUUUGUUUGCUUACUGUAGAUAAACAAGUAAACUUCAAGAACCAGCUACAAGGAUGAUAUGUAAC